This 1185-nucleotide long non-coding RNA is filed under the name Sorghum bicolor (sorghum). RNAcentral's name for it is "long non-coding RNA (SBIC_LNC001010)". Lineage: Eukaryota; Viridiplantae; Streptophyta; Magnoliopsida; Poales; Poaceae. The record is from RNAcentral.
UCUUUUGUGGUACUUCUGGAUCCUUACCAAGGCAAUGAUGGUGUAUGCCUUCUCUCAAAGUAUGUGGUAUUUGUGGUAUGAGGCAUAAUGAUAUUGCCUUCUCUCUCACCCAACUCUAACAAGGUUUUGAUAUCUGGAGCUCAUAGGUGGGAGACAGCUAAUACAUACUUACAAGACAUUUAUUGCAUUGUCAAACCUUGGAUCCAGAGAAACAAGUCAAUAAGUCAAAUCAAGAUGUGCAUGUGUGGCGAAUGAAUGGUGUAUGGUGAUGAUGAUGAUAAUGGUGAAGACAUUGGUGAAAGUCUAAUUCUACUUUUGCUCUUUUGAGGGGAUACAUACCUUUCUUGCACUUUGAAGCUUUUUGAAGGGAAUGAGAUGCUCUAUAUUUUCUUUGUCUUUUCUCUCAGGUGGGUAUCUUCUACCCCUAAUUCUACUGUCGGACACUUCCAUUUUUACCUCUCAUCUCACUUUUUCUUUUCUUCGAGGUUCCGGGCACUUGCCCCUUUUUAUUUCCUCGUAUUUUUUUCUCUUUUUUCUUUAGAGCACUCACCCUCCUAGAAUAAUGUAGCAAGUGGUAGUAACCAAAAUAUCAAGAGCAUUUAUUUCACGGGGAAUAACAGGGAUAGGAUAAUGUUUUUGGCUAUUCUCUCCUAGAUAGGAGUAGAAUAAUUUUCGGUGAAUUUGGAGAUGGAAAGGAGUGAAUGUAUGUGGAUGCGUACUUCCGGAGUAGAAGCACCUUGAAUGAGUGAACGUGCAAGUGAAUCUUGAUUUUAACCGCAUGACAAGCUCCUAAGGGUCUACACAGCUUGACAACACUCAAUGCUCAUAAGCAGUAAAAAGUAAAUGUAUGGUUCAUAGUCUAAUAAGCAUGUUUAUGUGGCUGUGGUAGGUUUUAAACUCCCGUCAUACAGGAACUCAUCAUGCAAUAUUUUAAAGAUUUUCAAAGAUAAAAUUCUCUAGAAUUCUAGCAUCUCUAGGAACAGAUAAACAGCAGCUCAACCUUCCCAUAUCGUAUCCAUUAAUCACUUAGACUUUAGAUCAAGUACUCUUCCCACAAGUUCAGGUUUAGAGCAAAUCUUAAUUCAUAACAGUCAUGCCUAAACUUGAUAGAGAAUUCAAUUUUGAGAACUUGUCAUGGCAGAGCAACUAUUCAUCAUUUCCAUGUGAGAGCUUAUCAUGAGGGUU